UUCUUUCUUUGCAAAAUAUUUAUACGAUUUUUGGUAUUAUUUUAUUUAGUGCAUUUUAACCAUUCCAUUGAGAUUUUUAUUUUAUUUAUAUACAAAAUGCAAUUGAGGCCAGGCGCAGUGGCUCAUGCCUGUAAUCCCAACACUUUGGGAAGCUGAAGCAGGAGGAUUGCUUGAACCCAGGAAUUCAAGACCAGCCCCAGCAACAUAUCGAGACUCUGUCUCUACAAAAAAUUAGAAAAUUAAUCAGGUGUGCUGGUGCAUACCUGUAGUCCUGGCUGAUUGGGAGACUGAGGCAGGAGAAUCACUUGAGCGUGGGAGGUUGAAGCCAUGGUGAGCCAUGGUUGCACCACUGUACUCCAGCCUGAGUAACAAAGCAAGACCCUGUCCCCCACCCCCAAAAAAUGCAAUUGAACAUCUUUGUAAUGUAUGGUCCUUCAUUUCAAAGUCAUGACACCUCUCUGCUUUUUUUCCUCUUCUCUUUUUUCUUGUGUAGUCAUUACAGUUGUUUGUCUUACUUUCUAGGGUUGAUGGGAUGGAGUGAGUGUAAUAAGUUAGUCUAUAAUAAUAUUUCUGGCCUAUCAAGUACAAGGCAUUUUUGAAGCCAAGAAGAUCCUGAGGAAGCCUGAGGCCAGCCCCCAUUGGAGAUGACUACACACAUCAAAGAGAAAAUUAAUAUCUCUCCACAGUCAGUUUGCCCAGUGCCCAUGAGGCUGCAGGGGUUAGUGCUGCAGAAGUCAGGGAGCUUGCUUGCUUGGAGUCUGGGAUGGAGGCUUGUCCUUAAAGAUACACUGGAUUCUCUAACAGGAUGGGAGGAAUAGUCUAGGUGUGGAAAGUCAACUGAAUGAGAGUCAGGUGUAGAGGUGAGAGGCCGUGCUGACCACGUAGCCAUAUUGCCCUAAAAUCCUUUGAACGUCAGCCUCCAGCAAUUGGACUUGGCCUGGGCUUUUCAGAUUUUUUUUUUUUUUCUCAGAUCCCUAGAAUUGUAAGGGAGUCCUUCUGCAUGGGGACGGGAAAGGUCAGGCCACCAGGACUCUGGAUCCUUCAGCCUUAAGGUUCAGUUUAAGAUUUCAUUUGGAAGAAGGAUUUUCUCACUCCUGAGAAAGCUUGUCAGCCCUCACCGUUACCAUUUGCGGGAAGGUAGGGUUUGA
This 1148-nucleotide long non-coding RNA is filed under the name Homo sapiens (human). Its description in RNAcentral is "non-protein coding lnc-NPAS1-5:1". Lineage: Eukaryota; Metazoa; Chordata; Mammalia; Primates; Hominidae. The record is from RNAcentral.